RNAcentral lists this ribosomal RNA (854 nucleotides) under Oenococcus oeni. RNAcentral's name for it is "bacterial LSU rRNA". It matches the Rfam family "Bacterial large subunit ribosomal RNA", at positions 1065 to 1945 of the family's 2925-position model. Lineage: Bacteria; Bacillati; Bacillota; Bacilli; Lactobacillales; Lactobacillaceae. The record is from RNAcentral.
GGAAAACGUUGUGAAGGUGCAUAGACAACUAGGAGGUUGGCUCAGAAGCAGCCACCCUUUAAAGAGUGCGUAAUAGCUCACUAGUCGAGUGCUCUUGCGCGGAUAAUGUACCGGGGCUAAGCAUAUUACCGAAACUGUGGAUGCGUAAGCAUGGUAGGAUAGCGUAAUUAACGCGAUGAAGGAUGACCGUAAGGACAUGUUGGAGCGUUAACUAGUGAGAAUUCCGGUAUGAGUAGCGAAAGAUAGGUGAGAAUCCUAUCCACCGAAUGAGUAAGGUUUCCCCCGGAAGGCUCGUCCGCGGGGGGUUAGUCGGGACCUAAGGCGAGGCUGAAAAGCGUAGUCGAUGGACAACAGGUUGAUAUUCCUGUACCGAUAUUUAAUUGCCGAAGGAAGGACGCAGAAGGAUAACACAGGCCACUAUUGGAUGUGGUUUUAAACAGUUAGUCUUCAUAAGAGUCAAAUGCUUUUAUGUUUAAGGAUAAGCUGUGAAUGUACCAAGUUUACUUGGAAAUUGUGUGAUUUCACGCUGCUGAAAAAAGUUUCGUAGGAAGAAAAUAUUGCCCGUACCGCAAACCGACACAGGUACUCGAGUGGAGAACACUAAGGUGAGCGAGUGAACUAUUGUUAAGGAACUCUGCAAAAUGAGUCCGUAACUUCGGAAGAAGGACUGCUGGUUUUAUACCAGCCGCAGCAAAUAGGCCCAAACAACUGUUUAUCAAAAACACAGGUUUCUGCAAAAUCGUAAGAUGAAGUAUAGGGGCUGACGCCUGCCCAGUGCUGGAAGGUUAAAAGGAGGACUUAGCUUCGGCGAAGGUCUUAAUUGAAGCCCCAGUGAACGGCGGCCGUAACUAUAA